Molecule: long non-coding RNA, 1100 nt
Filed under: Lynx pardinus (Iberian lynx)
Lineage: Eukaryota; Metazoa; Chordata; Mammalia; Carnivora; Felidae
Source: RNAcentral
CGGCGGGCGAGAGGCGGCAGUCAACGCGCUUCAUUUCCCAACGCCCAGCUCCACAGCGCCCGGGAAGGCGCGCCCCCCCCCUCCCCCCGGCCGGCUGCAUAACGACCGCCCGGCCCUGCCUCACCUCCCCGCACCCACCUUACCGCCGGGGGCCCUGGAGUCCCGCCGCUCCUGCUCUUACCCGCGGGGAGACCUUGGGCGAGUCCCUUACCAAUGCAGCCCAAUCCCGCCUCUGCAAAUGGGGGUCACUUAACUACCUGGCUACGUGGUUGCAACGGGCCCAAGUUCAGUAAAUCUCCGUGUUGGCAGUGCAUCAAAUCACAACCCCCCACGUCCUCAUCCAGAGCCGAUCAGCAUCAUCCAGAGUGGUGACCAGAAACAGGGAAUUCAAAUUCUUGAGAAGCAAUGUCUGGCACAUUAACCACGCCCCCACCCUCACCUCUCAAUCUGCGAUUAUUGUUGUUCUCAGGAAGAAAUCAUCGCCCAUGAUUUCCUUCCACCAGGAAAAGAGCCGCUCAGAAGAACACAACUUGAAGCUCCAGAAAGGAACCAUGGGGGUAGAACCUGCAAACCCCUCAGUGCCCAAGGCGUGGCCUGGCAUGCAGUUCAGCUUUUCAAGGGUCACCAAGUGCCAUGGAAAGCACCCCAGCCUGGGGAUUAGGAGAUUUAGGGCUCAGGUUCAGUUUUAACCUGAAUUCGGUGUGUGACCUUAGACAAGUCUGGUGAAUUGUGAGGGAUGGGAUGGGGUUCAGAAACUGUGGGCUCCUCAGAGAGGGGGCUGCUCCGGGAAGAUGGGGUCCCUGGGUCCUCAGGCUGGGGGUCUUCAUCAGGUUCGGCAUCCUGGCCAGGCCCAAGCCCUGCCAGCCUUUUACUGGCCUCCCACAGCCGGUGGGCCGCACGAUCAUCCCGGGCGGCUGGGGGCACCUCCUCUACAUGGCAAUUGGCAAAAUAUCUCCCACUGAGAGGUUCAAUGCCCUCCUGUAGAGCGCAGUACAGGGGUGUCUGGGCACCCCCUCUUGGCGUCCGCAGCACCAGCCAAGCCAGUGGGCGCAGAAGUGGGCUCAGCCAUCCAGGAACGUGGCGCAGGAAUAGCUCUGAGU